GACGAACGCUGGCGGCGUGCCUAAUACAUGCAAGUAGAACGCUGAAGAGAGUAGCUUGCUCUUCUUGGAUGAGUUGCGAACGGGUGAGUAACGCGUAGGUAACCUGCCUUGUAGCGGGGGAUAACUAUUGGAAACGAUAGCUAAUACCGCAUAACAAUGGAUGACACAUUUCAUUUAUUUGAAAGGGGCAAUUGCUCCACUACAAGAUGGACCUGCGUUGUAUUAGCUAGUAGGUGAGGUAACGGCUCACCUAGGCGACGAUACAUAGCCGACCUGAGAGGGUGAUCGGCCACACUGGGACUGAGACACGGCCCAGACUCCUACGGGAGGCAGCAGUAGGGAAUCUUCGGCAAUGGGGGCAACCCUGAACGAGCAACGCCGCGUGAGUGAAGAAGGUUUUCGGAUCGUAAAGCUCUGUUGUAAGUCAAGAACGAGUGUGAGAGUGGAAAGUUCACACUGUGACGGUAGCUUACCAGAAAGGGACGGCUAACUACGUG
Molecule: ribosomal RNA, 497 nt
Filed under: uncultured bacterium
Lineage: Bacteria
Description: partial 16S ribosomal RNA
Rfam family: Bacterial small subunit ribosomal RNA
Source: RNAcentral